AUUGAACGCUGGCGGCAGGCUUAACACAUGCAAGUCGAGCGGAGCGAGGGUGCUUGCACCUUAGCUUAGCGGCGGACGGGCGCGUAAUGCUUAGGAAUCUGCCUAUUAGUGGGGGACAACAUUCCGAAAGGGAUGCUAAUACCGCAUACGCCCUACGGGGGAAAGCAGGGGAUCUCCUGACCUUGGGCUAAUAGAUGAGCCUAAGUCGGAUUAGCUAGUUGGUGGGGUAAAGGCCGACCAAGGCGACGAUCUGUAGCGGGUCUGAGAGGAUGCUCCGCCACACUGGGACUGGGAAACGGCCCAGACUCCAACGGGAGGCAGCAGUGGGGAAUAUUGGACAAGGGGCGGAAGCCUGAUCCACCCAUGCCGCGUGUGGGAAGAAGGCCUUUUGGUUGGAAAGCACUUUAAGCGAGGAGGAGGCUACUCUAGUUAAUACCUAGGGAUAGUGGACGUUACUCGCAGAAUAAGCACCGGCUAACGCUGUGCCAGCAGCCGCCGUAA
Molecule: ribosomal RNA, 501 nt
Filed under: uncultured bacterium
Lineage: Bacteria
Description: partial 16S ribosomal RNA
Rfam family: Bacterial small subunit ribosomal RNA
Source: RNAcentral